UAUGAUGUCCUUAAUUGGGUGUCUUAUGGAUCCAGGACUUUUACCUUGAAAAAAUUAGAGUGUUUAAAGCAAGCUUAUUGCUCGAAUACAUUAGCAUGGAAUAAUAAAAUAGGACGGCUUGGUUCUAUUUUGUUGGUUUCUAGGAUCACCGUAAUGAUUAAUAGGGAUAGUUGGGGGCAUUAGUAUUCAAUUGUCAGAGGUGAAAUUCUUGGAUUUAUUGAAGACUAACUACUGCGAAAGCAUUUGCCAAGGAUGUUUUCAUUAAUCAAGAACGAAAGUUAGGGGAUCGAAGACGAUCAGAUACCGUCGUAGUCUUAACCAUAAACUAUGCCGACUAGGGUUCAGACGAUGUUAAUUUUUUAAUGACUCGUUUGGCACCUUACGGGAAACCAAAGUGUUUGGGUUCCGGGGGGAGUAUGGUCGCAAGGCUGAAACUUAAAGGAAUUGACGGAAGGGCACCACCAGGGGUGGAGCCUGCG
Molecule: ribosomal RNA, 479 nt
Filed under: uncultured Glomeromycotina
Lineage: Eukaryota; Fungi; Glomeromycota
Description: SSU rRNA
Rfam family: Eukaryotic small subunit ribosomal RNA
Source: RNAcentral